GAUUAUGACCUGAGCUGAAGUCAAAUGCUUAACUGACUGAGCCACCCAGAUGCCCAAACUGGUUUAAAUUCUAACUUCAUCAAUUUAUUGGCUCUAUAACUUUGGACAAAUUAUUUAACCUCUCUUUACCAUUAUUUCCUCCUAGGUAAAAUGAGGAUAAUAAUAACUGCAGUUGACUCUUGAAUACAUGAGAGUUAGGGGAGCUGACCCCCCCCCAACUCAGUUGAAAAUCCACAUAUAACUUUGGACUCCUCAGAAGCCUAGCCUACUGUUGCUGGCAGUCUUUCUUUAAUAACAUAAAUAGUCGACUAACACAUAUUUUGUACGUUAAAUGUAUUAUAUACUGUAUUCUUACAAUAGAUUAUGCUAGAGAAAAAAUGUUAUUAAGAAAAUCAUAAAGAGGGAUGCCUAGCUGGCUCAGUCUGUAGAGCAUGUGACUCUUGAUCUAGGGGUCAUGAGUUCAAGCUUCACGUAGGGGUAUAGUUUACUUAAAAAAGAAUUCAUAAAAGAAAAUGCAUUACUGUAUUUAUUGAAAAAGUCUGUGUAUAAGUGGACCUGUGCUGUCCAAACCCAUGUCGUUUAUUGAGUAAGUUAUACACAUAAAAUAAUAAAACCUCUCUGGCUCAGAGUAAGUACUAUAUGGUUUAUUUAAAUCUGUAACAUUUUUUGAGAAAGCAUAAUCUUGGAAGCCACUUAUAUAUGUGUGUUUUGGAAAGUGGAUAAAUAAAAUGUAUCAUUGUCAUACAGUUGAGUACUAGAUAACCAUUAACAGGAUCUAGAUUAUUUAUAACAUGGACAGAUCUCAGAAACAGUGUUGAGUGAAAAAAGCCACGUAUGUUUUAGAAGCUUUGGAUAGGACAUUAUAUUAAGUGUGUAAUUUUUAUUUUAUAUUUUUUAAUGUUUAUUUUUGAGAUACAGAGUGCCAUUGGGGGAGGGGCAGAGAGAGAAGGAGACAGAGGAUCCAAAGUGGGCUCUGUGCUGACAGUAGCAAACCUGAUGUGGGUUUAAACUCACAAACUGUGAGAUCAUGACCUGAGCUCAACUACCUGAACCGUCCAAGUGCCCCUUAAAUGUGUAAUUUUUAGUUUAGAGAAUACUUUAAUAUUGAAAACUACAGGAAAAAAAAUCUAAUGAAUAUAAAAUUCUAUUUAUAUAACCCCAGAUUCAUUUAUAAGCCUAUCGGUUUGGCAUAUAUAGUUGUAAGGCUGAAUAUUCUAUUUCUACUUGUAGAAUUCUGCCCCCCAAAAAGGCAUUCAUAUGUAAAUUAUGCCAUGGCCUUUGUAUGGAAUGAAUAGUGGACAAAGAGUGUUGUAGAUGUGUAUAUGG
Molecule: long non-coding RNA, 1326 nt
Organism: Panthera uncia (snow leopard)
Lineage: Eukaryota; Metazoa; Chordata; Mammalia; Carnivora; Felidae
Exons: 2
Source: RefSeq, a predicted model, not a curated record